This 497-nucleotide ribosomal RNA is filed under the name uncultured bacterium. RNAcentral describes it as "partial 16S ribosomal RNA". It matches the Rfam family "Bacterial small subunit ribosomal RNA", at positions 28 to 507 of the family's 1533-position model. The record is from RNAcentral.
GAUGAACGCUGGCGGCGUGCCUAAUACAUGCAAGUCGAGCGAACGGACGAGAAGCUUGCUUCUCUGAUGUUAGCGGCGGACGGGUGAGUAACACGUGGAUAACCUACCUAUAAGACUGGGAUAACUUCGGGAAACCGGAGCUAAUACCGGAUAAUAUUUUGAACCGCAUGGUUCAAAAGUGAAAGACGGUCUUGCUGUCACUUAUAGAUGGAUCCGCGCUGCAUUAGCUAGUUGGUAGGGUAACGGCUUACCAAGGCAACGAUGCAUAGCCGACCUGAGAGGGUGAUCGGCCACACUGGAGGUGGGACACGGUCCAGAGUCCUACGGGAGGCAGCAGUAGGGAAUCUUCCGCAAUGGGGGGAAGCCUGACGGAGCGGCGCCACGUGAGUGAUGACGGUCUUCGGAUCGUAAAACUCUGUUAUUAGGGAAGAACAUAUGUGUAAGUAACUGUGCACAUCUUGACGGUACCUAAUCAGAAAGCCACGGCUAACUACGUG